UGUUUUAAGGGUUUUUUGUUGGGUUCGGGUUUUUUCCCGUCAGACGUGCCUGGCUGGCGUCAGAUGGCUGGUGCUUUCUCCAUGCCGACAAGGAAGAACGGCAUCCAGGUGGGUGCUGGUUCUCCGUGCAACGUGGAGGAAGUUUGGCUGUAGUGUCUAUGAAAAGAAGAGACCAGAUUAAACUGCACCAGUUUGGAAGUCCCUAUUAGUCCAAGAGGCCACUACAGCAUUUGAUGUUGUAAACUACAGAACGAAAGCAGGACAGCUUGAGUCUGCAUAGCAUUUUUAUCUUGAGUCUUCUAUAAAGUUUUCUAAAAUGGGAAACGAGGUACCAAGGGAAAGGGACAUGGGCAACACCCUGAGGUGCUGCAAGUGUGGCAAAGAACUGUCUCCCUGUACGUCCAAUGAUGACUUAAGAAAAGAGACUGUCAAUGGGAUAUAUGUGCACGUCUUCAAUAACGGAGAAUACUACAGACCAGUUGGCCCCAACUAUCACUAUGAGUGUAGAAGCUGCUUCAAAUAAGGCUGUGAAGACAGUAGGAGAGAAGGAGAGCAGAUGAAAGGAGA
Poecilia reticulata (guppy) is the source of this 567-nucleotide non-coding RNA. NCBI's taxonomy places the organism in Eukaryota, Metazoa, Chordata, Actinopteri, Cyprinodontiformes, Poeciliidae. The record is from RefSeq and is a predicted model, not a curated record.